ACUCCUACGGGAGGCAGCAGUAGGGAAUCUUCGGCAAUGGACGAAAGUCUGACCGAGCAACGCCGCGUGAGUGAAGAAGGUUUUCGGAUCGUAAAACUCUGUUGGUAGAGAAGAACGUUGGUGAGAGUGGAAAGCUCAUCAAGUGACGGUAACUACCAGAAAGGGACGGCUAACUACGUGCCAGCAGCCGCGGUAAU
This 197-nucleotide ribosomal RNA is filed under the name uncultured bacterium. RNAcentral's name for it is "partial 16S ribosomal RNA". It matches the Rfam family "Bacterial small subunit ribosomal RNA", at positions 335 to 524 of the family's 1533-position model. The record is from RNAcentral.